GACGAACGCUGGCGGCGUGCUUAACACAUGCAAGUCGAACGGAAAGGCCCUGCUUGCAGGGUACUCGAGUGGCGAACGGGUGAGUAACACGUGGGUGAUCUGCCCUGCACUUCGGGAUAAGCCUGGGAAACUGGGUCUAAUACCGGAUAGGAGCCAUUUUUAGCGUGAUGGUUGGAAAGUUUUUUCGGUGUAGGAUGAGCUCGCGGCCUAUCAGCUUGUUGGUGGGGUAAUGGCCUACCAAGGCGGCGACGGGUAGCCGGCCUGAGAGGGUGGACGGCCACAUUGGGACUGAGGGACGGCCCAGACUCCUACGGGAGGAAGCAGUGGGGAAGAUUGCACAAUGGGCGCAAGCCUGAUGCAGCGACGCCGCGGGGGGGAUGACGGCCUUCGGGUUGUAAACUCCUUUCGCUAGGGACGAAGCUUUUUGUGACGGUACCUAGAUAAGAAGCACCGGCUAACUACGUG
Molecule: ribosomal RNA, 465 nt
Filed under: uncultured bacterium
Lineage: Bacteria
Description: partial 16S ribosomal RNA
Rfam family: Bacterial small subunit ribosomal RNA
Source: RNAcentral